Molecule: long non-coding RNA, 558 nt
Organism: Lethenteron reissneri (Far Eastern brook lamprey)
Lineage: Eukaryota; Metazoa; Chordata; Hyperoartia; Petromyzontiformes; Petromyzontidae
Source: RefSeq, a predicted model, not a curated record
GGCAGACUCAAGCUGUUCUGUGCCCUGAGCUGAGGCUGCAACUGAAGCGAUUUCUUCCGCAGGUUCAUGAGUCGAGAUUAACGGAGAGGUUAUCAUCUCAAGACUUGCGGCAUGGACGGAAAGCAAGAGGCCACGUCUUCGCCAGCCUACACAGAAAGAGAGCAGGGUCCCGCCUCUGGCUACCAUCAACCCCAGCAGCCGCCCAUCACCAACCAAUACCCAGUCCCCCCAUACUCUAACCCAACACAACCGCAAGUGUAUUUCACCCAUCCAAAUCAGGGAGUCAUCUUUCCGCAGCCUCAGAUGGUGAUAACCACUCAGGCUAUUAACCCCGGCCCGCCCGACUACCUGAUUUUUUCCGUGUUCACGAUGCUAUGUUGUUUCUUUCCGACUGGGAUCCCAGCACUGAUUUUCUCCAUCAUGGUCCGAGACAACGUGUCGAAAGGAGACAUGGAGCACGCCAGACACUGCUCCGUGACUGCUCGGAAUCUCAACAUCUGUGGACUCAUUUUGGGAUUGAUUUGGAUUAUCAUUUCAAUUAUUCUUUCUUUUGUAUCU